Molecule: ribosomal RNA, 259 nt
Filed under: uncultured bacterium
Lineage: Bacteria
Description: partial 16S ribosomal RNA
Rfam family: Bacterial small subunit ribosomal RNA
Source: RNAcentral
UACGUAGGGGGCAAGCGUUAUCCGGAUUUACUGGGUGUAAAGGGUGCGUAGCCGGAAAUAAAAGUCAGAUGUGAAAGCCCGAGGCUCAACUUCGGGACUGCAUUUUGAAACUCUAUUUCUAGAGUGCAGGAGAGGAAAGUGGAAUUCCUAGUGUAGCGGUGAAAUGCGUAGAUAUUAGGAGGAACACCAGUGGCGAAAGGCGACUUUCUGGACUGUAACUGAUGGUGAGGCACGAAAAGCGUGGGGGAGGCAAAACAGG